This 356-nucleotide unclassified non-coding RNA is filed under the name Hevea brasiliensis (rubber tree). The record is from RNAcentral. Lineage: Eukaryota; Viridiplantae; Streptophyta; Magnoliopsida; Malpighiales; Euphorbiaceae.
AUUAAAGUCAAUCCCGAGCUUAUUUCGCAAACUUGAACACCUGAUUUUUCGAGUUCAAUCCUAUCUCUCUUCCGAAUACAUCAGCAAGGAGGGGUUUCAGCAGAGAGGUACGGGAAUAACUACAGCAAGGUAUUUAGCAGCUCCCCAAAUAAAUUUUUGCAGACUCCAAAUUUGGUUUGGUUAUCUGUACUUUCAUUGCGUAAAGGCAUAGAUUUUUCAACCUGUAGAAGUAGGAAUACCCCAAAGCAUAGACUUUUGCAGACCAAUAUGACUUCAUUUUUUUAUUCUCCUUUGUUGCUUCUUUAUGCAAUUAUUAUGUGCAAGAAAAUAUAAAAGAGUUUCCCACUCUUAUAAAG